CAUCCUCUGCAGAUUGUAAAAGACAUGCAGGAAAUGAAAAGCAAACACUUAAAGACAAUCAGACAGCUGGAAAACACAAAGAAAGAAAACCAAAGCAAGGAGCAGACUAUAACUACUAUAAAUAAACUUUAUGGUGACAAAAUUAGGAGUUUGAAAUCCCAGUUGGAAGCUUACCAUGAACUGAUGAACAAGAACAGCACCCAUUGGCAAAAUGCUGUUAAGGUAAAUAAGUACAGUUUUGACAUGGCGAUAAGAGCAACAGGAAGUUCCAGGCAUUGCAGAAAGAGGUUAUAUAAGUCAUGUUUUCUUCUUAGGGACAGUCAACUGAAGACACACAUUUUAUGAAAUUACUACAAAACCAUUGCUGUCUCGUUCUGGAGUGGAGUUAAGACUUACACAGUGUUUUCGGAACAGUUUUCAUAUCU
RNAcentral lists this long non-coding RNA (425 nucleotides) under Anser brachyrhynchus (Pink-footed goose). RNAcentral describes it as "lncRNA (ENSABRG00000018587.1)". Lineage: Eukaryota; Metazoa; Chordata; Aves; Anseriformes; Anatidae. The record is from RNAcentral.